GAUUUUAAGCUAAAAUAGAUUUUUAGGUGUCUGCAAUCAAGGCUAGUCAAUUUUGGGGUAAAUCGAUCACAAAAUGGCCUUGCUUAACUACAGUGAGAGUCCUUGAAAAAGUCGGACUAAAAGAUGGAGUGGACCACAAGUCAUAUCCACCAAAUAGACCUUGGCUUUAGUCCAAGACUCAAAAGUUCUCUUCUGCCGUGUCUACAGUCUUGGACUUCUCAUUCUUCCUUGGCCUCAGGCGCAAGGAAAGGGUUCGGAUAUGCAGAAUGUACUCAAGCUCAAUAUCUAGGUGUACAGCUAUAGAUCCUACUGUGCUAAGCGGCCUCAUGGAGUGAUCUUCUUACUAGCAAAAUUUGCACACCAAUAAUGAAACAAAGGUUGCAAAAUAAAGAGCUAUGGCAUCUGCAUGUACUGCUAGUUCAUGAAAAAUGAACAUUUAUUGUCCAUCUCUUCAAAUUGAAAAGACUGCAGAGCCUGAAUUACCUGCAACGUUAUGCUUCUUAUGAAACAUCAGCCAGCCUACAGACAGAAGCUCCCUUUUCCAGCUUUAAGCAAGAGGAACCACAAUGAGAUACAGAUCUUGGUAUCAUGGACUGGUCACUUUUUACAACCAACACUAAUUGUAAAAUAAGAUUUACAAAUUAAUUCCUAUAAGCUAUUAAAAAUGCUCUAGUCAAGGUACUAAAAUUUUGCCAUUGAGUUUGAGGUUUUGGGUUUGAUAAAAA
This is a long non-coding RNA of Strongylocentrotus purpuratus (purple sea urchin), 725 nucleotides long. RefSeq lists it as uncharacterized. Lineage: Eukaryota; Metazoa; Echinodermata; Echinoidea; Camarodonta; Strongylocentrotidae. The record is from RefSeq and is a predicted model, not a curated record. The transcript has 4 exons.